This 344-nucleotide transfer-messenger RNA is filed under the name Candidatus Harrisonbacteria bacterium RIFCSPHIGHO2_02_FULL_42_16. It matches the Rfam family "transfer-messenger RNA". Rfam says of the family: Bacterial tmRNA, also known as 10Sa RNA or SsrA, is named for its dual tRNA and mRNA-like properties. Lineage: Bacteria; Candidatus Harrisoniibacteriota. The record is from RNAcentral. RNAcentral also lists the same sequence under 2 other names.
GGGAGUGAAAAGCUUCGACAAAUUAUUUUCUAUCAAAUUAGCAAGCGGAGUGGCAACCUCAUUAAAAGUUGCAAAACAAUAAGUGCAAACUUAUUCAACAAACAGCCAGCUUUAGCUUACGCUUAACUGGCCAUCGCUCAACUAAAGCUUGAUAAGUUAUUAAGCGGUGUCAAACAUCAAGCUCUGCCUUGAUACGCUGAUAUUCAAGGCGAAACUAAUCAGCACAAAGUUUAAAGUGUUUUGUUAGAUUAUAGCUUUAAAUUUUUCAAAAUAAUCUGACUAAGCUUGUAGAAAAUUUGAUAGUAAUAAUUUGGACGCGGAUGCAAUUUCCGCCACUUCCACUC